Molecule: transfer RNA, 74 nt
Filed under: Flavobacterium salmonis
Lineage: Bacteria; Pseudomonadati; Bacteroidota; Flavobacteriia; Flavobacteriales; Flavobacteriaceae
Description: Flavobacterium sp. T13(2019) tRNA-Ala
Rfam family: tRNA
About the family: Transfer RNA (tRNA) molecules are approximately 80 nucleotides in length. Their secondary structure includes four short double-helical elements and three loops (D, anti-codon, and T loops). Further hydrogen bonds mediate the characteristic L-shaped molecular structure. tRNAs have two regions of fundamental functional importance: the anti-codon, which is responsible for specific mRNA codon recognition, and the 3' end, to which the tRNAs corresponding amino acid is attached (by aminoacyl-tRNA synthetases). tRNAs cope with the degeneracy of the genetic code in two manners: having more than one tRNA (with a specific anti-codon) for a particular amino acid; and 'wobble' base-pairing, i.e. permitting non-standard base-pairing at the 3rd anti-codon position.
Source: RNAcentral
UAGAUGUUAGCUCAAUUGGAAGAGCGCCUGUUUUGCAGGCAGGAGGUUGCGAGUUCAAGUCCCGCACAUCUAUC